Long non-coding RNA from Zonotrichia leucophrys gambelii, 521 nucleotides. RefSeq lists it as uncharacterized. The transcript has 3 exons. NCBI's taxonomy places the organism in Eukaryota, Metazoa, Chordata, Aves, Passeriformes, Passerellidae. The record is from RefSeq and is a predicted model, not a curated record.
AGUAGCAGCAACCUCUCCUCUGGUUAAAUUAGAAGAAACUGGCUAGAGAGAGCUCAGAUACAGGGCUGAAAACAAAGACAUCCAAACCUUGAGCUGUUUAGAAGAGGAAGAUGCCAAAAUCUGUGCCAGAGGUUUGACUGCUGGGAUACUCAUGGCUUCAGAUUGAAUCUGCAUGGAUAUAUCUACAGUGAUGACUUGGACUGUCUCCUUGUGUCACCUUCGUAUCUUUUUUCCCCUUUUCCAAUGUUCCUUAUCUUUGCUGAGUGUCAUCAUCAUAAUAAUUCUUAUUACUCACCCACCUAAAAAUUUGUGGCUGGUGCAUUUUUGCUAUUUCAGUUCCAGUCCUUUUUAGAUUGUUCAUAAACAGAAGCAAAUUAAACAGUGUGGAAUCCAGACUGGAACCUUGAGGCAUAUGAUGUUUUCCCGGGUGAAAAUAGGCCAUCUGAUUCUUCACUUCUUUCCCCUUUAUUAAAGUUUCAUCAAAAUAAUAGUUUUCUUCCUUCUCUGAAUCCCUACAGUUU